CCUACGGGAGGCAGCAGUGGGGAAUAUUGGGCAAUGGGCGAAAGCCUGACCCAGCAACGCCGCGUGAAGGAAGAAGGCCUUCGGGUUGUAAACCUCUUUUCUCAGGGACGAAGCAAGUGACGGUACCUGAGGAAUAAGCCACCGCUAACUACGUGCCAGCAGCCGCGGUAAUACGUAGGGGGCAAGCGUUAUCCGGAUUUACUGGGUGUAAAGGGCGUGUAGGCGGGACUGCAAGUCAGAGGUGAAAACCACGGGCUCAACCUGUGGCCUGCAUUUGAAACUGUAGUUCUUGAGUGCUGGAGAGGCAGACGGAAUUCCUGGUGUAGCGGUGAAAUGCGUAGAUAUUAGGAGGAACACCAGUGGCGAAGGCGGUCUGCUGGACAGCAACUGACGCUGAGGCGCGAAAGCGUGGGGAGCAAACAGGAUUAGAUACCCCUGUAGUC
Molecule: ribosomal RNA, 443 nt
Filed under: uncultured bacterium
Lineage: Bacteria
Description: partial 16S ribosomal RNA
Rfam family: Bacterial small subunit ribosomal RNA
Source: RNAcentral